UACGAAGGGGGCUAGCGUUGCUCGGAAUCACUGGGCGUAAAGGGCGCGUAGGCGGCCUGAUCAGUCGGGGGUGAAAGCCUGUGGCUCAACCACAGAAUGGCCUUCGAUACUGUCAGGCUUGAGACCGGAAGAGGUAAGUGGAACUGCGAGUGUAGAGGUGAAAUUCGUAGAGAUCCGGAGGAACACCAGUGGCGAAGGCGACACGCUGGGCCGUACCUGACGCUAAAGCGCGACAGCAUGGGGAGCAAACGGG
Molecule: ribosomal RNA, 253 nt
Filed under: uncultured bacterium
Lineage: Bacteria
Description: partial 16S ribosomal RNA
Rfam family: Bacterial small subunit ribosomal RNA
Source: RNAcentral